This 545-nucleotide ribosomal RNA is filed under the name Staphylococcus aureus. RNAcentral's name for it is "partial 23S ribosomal RNA". It matches the Rfam family "Bacterial large subunit ribosomal RNA", at positions 1663 to 2207 of the family's 2925-position model. The record is from RNAcentral. Lineage: Bacteria; Bacillati; Bacillota; Bacilli; Caryophanales; Staphylococcaceae.
GUAGUCAAGAUGAGAAUUCUAAGGUGAGCGAGCGAACUCUCGUUAAGGAACUCGGCAAAAUGACCCCGUAACUUCGGGAGAAGGGGUGCUCUUUAGGGUUAACGCCCAGAAGAGCCGCAGUGAAUAGGCCCAAGCGACUGUUUAUCAAAAACACAGGUCUCUGCUAAACCGUAAGGUGAUGUAUAGGGGCUGACGCCUGCCCGGUGCUGGAAGGUUAAGAGGAGUGGUUAGCUUCUGCGAAGCUACGAAUCGAAGCCCCAGUAAACGGCGGCCGUAACUAUAACGGUCCUAAGGUAGCGAAAUUCCUUGUCGGGUAAGUUCCGACCCGCACGAAAGGCGUAACGAUUUGGGCACUGUCUCAACGAGAGACUCGGUGAAAUCAUAGUACCUGUGAAGAUGCAGGUUACCCGCGACAGGACGGAAAGACCCCGUGGAGCUUUACUGUAGCCUGAUAUUGAAAUUCGGCACAGCUUGUACAGGAUAGGUAGGAGCCUUUGAAACGUGAGCGCUAGCUUACGUGGAGGCGCUGGUGGGAUACUACCCUA